Molecule: long non-coding RNA, 628 nt
Filed under: Trifolium pratense (red clover)
Lineage: Eukaryota; Viridiplantae; Streptophyta; Magnoliopsida; Fabales; Fabaceae
Description: long non-coding RNA (TPRA_LNC005735)
Source: RNAcentral
GCUUUACUUUGUGGAUCUUAUACUUACUAUUUGUUUUUAUUCUAUUCUUAUAUGGAGGCCCAACCCAAAAUAUUGUAAGUUAACCCUAUUGUUGCUCUUGAUUAAUGAAAACUCAAGCAGCCGCCACCUUCAUUGCUAAAGCUUCAUCUCCCAAUCUAUUCGAUCAAUACACUUCAUAUGGCUCAAGCUUCAUCUCUCUAUACAACCAAAUUAAUCACUAUUAUUGCAUCUCUUAUUUUUCUUCUAUAUUUUAUUUGUGGUUCUUUUAUUUACUCUAAAUCUGUGAUUCUUUUUCUUCUUCAACUAAAUCAAACUGGUCCAUUUCUCUAAUCUUCUUAUUUAAAGCAUUUGUUCUUCCUAAUAGUUUGAAGGUUGGUUUGUAAUGUACUUUCUUCUUCUUCUUCAACCGUGGAAGCAGAGAUUAAGUGGCAAACUGGAAUUUUUUUUUUGCAGAACCGCUGAACCGCACUGGCCGGUUCACCGGUUUGUUCCGGUUCGACGCCGGUCCGAACGUUUUUUUACCGGUUCGUUUACUUUCCGUUUUUCUGGCUAAACCGAACCGUAUGUAAGCCCGGUUCACGGUCCGAGCGGUCCGACCGGCCGGUCCGGUCCGGUUCUGACAACCUUG